Molecule: ribosomal RNA, 253 nt
Filed under: uncultured bacterium
Lineage: Bacteria
Description: partial 16S ribosomal RNA
Rfam family: Bacterial small subunit ribosomal RNA
Source: RNAcentral
UACGAAGGGUGCAAGCGUUACUCGGAAUUACUGGGCGUAAAGCGUGCGUAGGCGGUUUGUUAAGUCCGUUGUGAAAGCCCUGGGCUCAACCUGGGAAUUGCAGUGGAUACUGGCAAGCUAGAGUACGGUAGAGGAUGGUGGAAUUCCCGGUGUAGCGGUGAAAUGCGUAGAGAUCGGGAGGAACACCCGUGGCGAAGGCGGCCAUCUGGACCAGUACUGACGCUGAGGCACGAAAGCGUGGGGAACAAACAGG